UUUUAGCCCUGAUAGCAGCGGCAUCCUUUUGUGGCGGGGUUCGCCACAAAAGAUACAGCGAAUAGCAGGAUUAGCU
Beta vulgaris subsp. vulgaris (sugar beet) is the source of this 76-nucleotide non-coding RNA. NCBI's taxonomy places the organism in Eukaryota, Viridiplantae, Streptophyta, Magnoliopsida, Caryophyllales, Amaranthaceae. The record is from Rfam.